This 420-nucleotide ribosomal RNA is filed under the name uncultured bacterium. Its description in RNAcentral is "bacterial SSU rRNA". It matches the Rfam family "Bacterial small subunit ribosomal RNA", at positions 355 to 775 of the family's 1533-position model. The record is from RNAcentral.
UGGGGAAUCUUGCGCAAUGGCCGCAAGGCUGACGCAGCGACGCCGCGUGGGGGAUGAAGGGUUUCGGCUCGUAAACCCCUGUUGCCCGGGACGAACGGCUCUUUUCGAGGAGCGUGACGGUACCGGGUGAGGAAGCACCGGCUAACUCCGUGCCAGCAGCCGCGGUAAUACGGAGGGUGCGAGCGUUGUCCGGAAUCACUGGGCGUAAAGGGCGCGUAGGUGGCACGGCAAGCGUGCGGUGAAAGCUCGGGGCUCAACCCCGAGUCGGCCGUGCGAACUGCUGAGCUGGAGCACUGUAGAGGCAGAUGGAAUUCCGGGUGUAGCGGUGGAAUGCAUAGAGAUCCGGAAGAACACCGGUGGCGAAGGCGGUCUGCUGGGCAGUAGCUGACACUGAGGCGCGACAGCGUGGGGAGCAAACAG